AGAUCAGGAACCGCCGCAGUCCCGCUCGCCUCCCUGCUUGCCUGUCCCCCUUUCUUUAUUUCUCGCGCCCCUCGCCAAGGGUCCUCCAUUUCUCCAAACCGGAUUAUUUAAAAGAGUAAAAGAAAGAAAGAAAGAAAAAAGUCCAUCUCAUUGCUCUAACCGCCAUUCAGGAGGCUGGAUGUCAGUUUUGAAAGAAACGGCGCUAUUCUCCACUUCUAGAUUUGGGAAACGAGCGAAAUUAAAGAAAAUUGCUGCGACAUCUGGACACUGAGUGGCGCUGGCGCCGCUGGAGCAGCGGGCACAGCGCCGGACCAGGUGAGAAAACUGAGGCCUAGAGGAACUCAUAUCUUGGAUACUUUAUGGCCAGCAGGUGCCAGGACUGGAAUCACUAAGAGGGUCUUUGAACUACAAGUCUUGUGCUCUUUCUGUUUUACUAAAGACCAGAGUCAAUAGGGAGUGAGCUAUUGAUGGGUCAUUUGUGCAGACAGAAGAUCACUGAAUAUUGGAGCUUUUCUUUGUUCUCUUCCUUUGGCCUAAAAACUGACUCAGAGAAUGGAGGAAAAUGAUUUUCUGUUUUUUAAAAUGAUUUUCUAUUUUGGAUCAGCAAAUUCAUCCCUCAGGCAGAGACAGGAGAGGGCAUUUUUUUUUUAACAUUCCUUGUCUGUGCCACCGCACCCAACCUCCAGCCCUGACAUUCCAGGACAUUGGCUUUUUCCUUCAGAUAUCCCUUGAUUAUCAAAAUUCUGUGAGAAAUUUCCUUAAAUAUUGCACAUGCUCAAACUGAAAGCUCCAAAGGUAUAAGACAAAAGACACUGUAAGAUAAAUAAACUAUUAUUUGGACAUAUAUAACAAAACAUCAACCUCUAGAAUAUGUAAAUAAAUACAUAAAUGAGAAAAAAAUACCUUUUGGAAAAAUUAGCAAAUAAUAUGAUGGCUAAGUGAUAUACAAAUAGUCAAAUGGCCAAAAUUAGGAAAAUAUAUUGUUUUACUCAUUAGUAAAGAAAUGUAACAAAAAAUGCUGACAUAUACCUAUAUGUGUGGCAAAAAUAAAAGGAGUGAUAACAUUAGCAAAGUUGUGAGAAAAUAAUCAUUCUUAUAUACUAUUGUAACUUGGGGCAUUCAUUUUGAGAGGCAACUUUGCAGUACUUAUCAAAACUGUAUGUGCGUAUACAUACCCUUUGACUCAGCAAUUCCACUCCUAGAACCUACAUAAUUAUGCAAAUAUAUACACACAUAAAUAUAUGUAUGGAAAUAUAUAUUAUAUAUGCAGUGUGUGCAUAUAUAUAUAUGUAUAGCAAUGAAUAUUACAUAUGUAUGCAUGUAUGCAUUACCCUUCGACUCAGCAAUUCCACUCCUAUAAGUGGAAUUAUGUAAGUAUGAAAACAUGCCCCUGACUCUGUGGGCAGAGCAGAGGUUUGGAAACCAAAUUUCUGAAAUAGAACCUUUCAUGUCUCUGUU
Molecule: long non-coding RNA, 1458 nt
Filed under: Sus scrofa (pig)
Lineage: Eukaryota; Metazoa; Chordata; Mammalia; Artiodactyla; Suidae
Description: lncRNA (ENSSSCG00040052156.1)
Source: RNAcentral